UCUCCAUCUCGCACACCCUUUUGCUGCUCCAACAUCACCACCGAUGUCUGCAAGCCUAGGGUCAGAAAUGGACAGUUUUCCCUUUCUCUCUUCUACUUUUCUCUCGCACGCCCAGGGUCAGAAAUCGACGGCUUCAUCUCUGAAGUCUUCCUCACUGCAUGGUUCAACGGCAAGGUUCUAGGGAGUUCUCCUUGUUUGGCUUACCUUCUCAUCUUGUUAAUUUUCUUUUGAGCACUGAUUAUCAGCUGUAGAUUUCGUUUGGUUGUUGAGAAAACAACCAAGGAAAAUUCGAACUGAAUACUUAGGAAUUUGAAUCGGAACUGAUUUUCAGUGCUUGAUUUUUCCUUUUUGAUAUAUGAAUAAAAUUAUUUUUCCUUUUUCAUGAUUGUUCCCAAUCUAGAUUUUUGAUUGCCUGAGUUAUUUCCUACUCUCCAGAUAUCAUCUACACUUCAAUUAUCUAGAUUUCUAAUUUUGAUUCUUUUAAAAUCAAAUCUGAGUUUUUUUUUUUUUGGUCUUAAUAACAAGGUCAUUGCAACCCCUCAACCAUUGAACUGGAAAGUCCUCCUCUCACAAUUUCCUUCAUAUGCUACCUUUCUGUUAGGUAUGAUGACUAUUUGCUCUGUAUGAUUUGAGUUUUGUUUUGGAAAUAUUUAUUUGGCCAUAUAUGAUUUAUAAACUAUUUUCUUCUCUGUUUUGUAUGUGUGUGUGUGUGUGUAUGCAUAUAUUUAUAUAUGCAGGUUGUGUAUUCCUUUGUAAUGUGUUCAGUAUGCGGGUAGGUUAUCGUUCUUGUAUUUGAUAUGAGUGUCCUGUUGUCCAUUUGAUGUGGACUUUGUGUCAAAUUUGAGAUUAUUCACUUGCACACUUACCCAGUAGUUAUUUCAUUUGCUAUGUUUAAUGCUUUGAGUCUGAUUCAUUGUUUUCGAAGUCUUGGAAAUCCUUUCAAAUCUCUUCCAGCCACUUCUUUUUCUUUUUUAACAAACCAUUUCGGCUUCAUGUGAUGAUCACUAGUUGCUUGGAUUUUAUGAAAGGUAAUUCCAUUAGCUUCUAGGAUAAAGUUUUGUUGAUUUGAAAUGGUUUUAUGAUCAAUUAGGGCAUAUAUAAUUAAGAGUUGUAAAGAAUAAUCAUUUGUUAUUAAUUACUACACGAGAGGCAUGUGUUAAGCCUAAUUUUAUUCACUGUACUUGAUCUGACUCUAUAAAAUGGAUGUGUUGUUGAUUACAAUAUUACUUUGAACAAACUGGGGAAAAUAAUGUUUUGUUUUAUGAUGAUUAGUGAAACUUAGAGGGCGAAGGCAUAUACUAUUUUGAGUUUGAAGACUAAUUUGGACUCAAGCCCUCCAAAAAUAUAAUGUCUAGCAGAUUCUGUUUUCUUUUUGCAGUAGGGUGUUUGAAAUACUUGCUUAAGAG
This 1406-nucleotide long non-coding RNA is filed under the name Prunus dulcis (almond). RNAcentral's name for it is "sRNA ncRNA". Lineage: Eukaryota; Viridiplantae; Streptophyta; Magnoliopsida; Rosales; Rosaceae. The record is from RNAcentral.